Long non-coding RNA from Fundulus heteroclitus (mummichog), 722 nucleotides. RefSeq lists it as uncharacterized. Lineage: Eukaryota; Metazoa; Chordata; Actinopteri; Cyprinodontiformes; Fundulidae. The record is from RefSeq and is a predicted model, not a curated record. The transcript is spliced from 3 exons.
GAGUUCCGGGGUAUGACGUUGUUACGGGACCGGAAACCGGGGGCACCGCCAUCUUGGCAGUAUUCGGCAGCAUUCGGCAGAUUGGCAGACUGUGGUGGUGAAGAAGGCUAAAGAUGGUUGAUAACUGUUGUGCACCAGGUUGCACAAAUAAACGAGGGAAAGGGAAAGGUUCGUCGUUUUACCGCAUUCCUAAAGAUGUGGAGAGGCGAGCUAGGUGGAUCAGUGCCAUUAAAAGAGCCAGGAGCAGGCAAAACAAGACUCAAAGAUGGGACCCCCCAGCCGUUGGAUUCCGCUUGUGCAGCGAUCACUUCGUAUCAGGGAGAAAGAGUGAUAAUCCCUUUAGUCCGGACUUUGUUCCAUCUAUUUUCAACUACGUGCCAUCUCCAGAGAAGAGGAAAAGAAAAAUGAGACUGGAGGUUUUCAACAGACGACAGAAAGCAAAGCUACAGAAGAUAGAGCAGACAAAGCUAUCUGCAAAAGCCAUCCCUCCCAGAGCAUCAACCGAUUGUCCCCAAGACAGCAACAAGGACCCUACUGCAGACCAAACUCCCACCACAGAGCCUUUUGAAUCUACCCAUGAGGAACCUGAAAAUGAUGUCCAGCCUGUUCUCCAUGAGGAUGAUCCAGCAACUCCACCAUGCAGCACUGAAACCUGUGGUAAACGCAUCCAAUCUCUUGAGCAAGAAUGCCAAGCUUUAAGGACUGAGAAUAUGUUGUUGAAA